Molecule: long non-coding RNA, 729 nt
Organism: Gracilinanus agilis (Agile Gracile Mouse Opossum)
Lineage: Eukaryota; Metazoa; Chordata; Mammalia; Didelphimorphia; Didelphidae
Exons: 3
Source: RefSeq, a predicted model, not a curated record
GACCAGUUUACAUUUUUCUUUGAAGCUUUGUGUAACUAUUUUGACUUUGUUUUCUAAGUUUGCAUUUUGACUUUUCCUGUCACCAUAGUCAUUUUCUGGGGUUGGGUUCUUUUUCUGUUUGCUCUUUUUUCCAGCCUGUUUUUUGACGUUUAACUUUAUGUUAAAGCAAGGCUGUCCCUGGGAUGGAUAGAGCAUUGUUCCAAGCUUGAGGUUUUUUGUGCUGCUGUUCUCAGAACUAAUUUUGGGAAUCUGUACGUUUUCUCUUCUUCCAAGGUGAUGUGAUUUAAGGAGAAAUGGAGUAGCCACUCUUCUGGCCUAUGCUCUACUCUGUGAGCAGACGAGCACUCUGCCCUAGAAUUGUGGGGUCCCACCUACCUUGCAGCUACACCCUAGUGUGCUGGUACUCCUCUUCCCUCCACCCUGAGACCUCAACUCAGGCCAAGCACUCCAGAAGCUGCUGUUGCUGAUUCAGUCACCCCAAGGCCCCCGGCCAGCUGCCUUGCUUCCCAGCUUGGCAUCUUUGGGCUCAUUUGCCAGGGGUGCGGCCUGCCUUGGACUAUCCUCUCCUCUAGUAAGACAGACCUUUUCUGCUGACAUUGUGGCCCAAAUGACUGAGCGGGGAAGGAGACUGCCGCGGAGGCUGGUUCCUGCAGACCUGUAGCUUCUCCUUUCAGCUUGCAGCCGGGGCUGGCAGGAUGAAGGAGGUGGAGAAGCUGGAGGGCCUCCGAG